Molecule: ribosomal RNA, 468 nt
Filed under: uncultured bacterium
Lineage: Bacteria
Description: partial 16S ribosomal RNA
Rfam family: Bacterial small subunit ribosomal RNA
Source: RNAcentral
GACGAACGCUGGCGGCGUGCUUAACACAUGCAAGUCGAACGGAAAGGCCCUGCUUUUGUGGGGUGCUCGAGUGGCGAACGGGUGAGUAACACGUGAGUAACCUGCCCUUGACUUUGGGAUAACUUCAGGAAACUGGGGCUAAUACCGGAUAGGAGCUCCUGCUGCAUGGGGGGGGUUGGAAAGUUUCGGCGGUUGGGGAUGGACUCGCGGCUUAUCAGCUUGUUGGUGGGGUAGUGGCUUACCAAGGCUUUGACGGGUAGCCGGCCUGAGAGGGUGACCGGCCACAUUGGGACUGAGAUACGGCCCAGACUGCUACGGGAGGCAGCAGUGGGGAAUAUUGCACAAUGGGCGGAAGCCUGAUGCAGCAACGCCGCGUGCGGGAUGACGGCCUUCGGGUUGUAAACCGCUUUCGCCUGUGACGAAGCGUGAGUGACGGUAAUGGGUAAAGAAGCACCGGCUAACUACGUG